RNAcentral lists this ribosomal RNA (403 nucleotides) under uncultured bacterium. RNAcentral's name for it is "partial 16S ribosomal RNA". It matches the Rfam family "Bacterial small subunit ribosomal RNA", at positions 28 to 526 of the family's 1533-position model. The record is from RNAcentral.
GACGAACGCUGGCGGCGUGCCUAAUACAUGCAAGUCGAACGCAGUGGGGACGGGUGAGUAACACGUGGGUAACCUCCCAUCAGAGGGGAUAACACUUGGAAACAGGUGCUAAACCGAUACUGAUGGAUGGAACCGCGGUGCAUUAGCUAGUUGGUGAGGUAACAGCUCACCAAGGCCACGAUGCAUAGCGUACCGUGGAGGGUGUUCUGCCACACUGGACCUUAGACACGGCCGAGAGUCCUACGUGAGGCAGCAGUAGGGAAUCUUCUGCAAUGGACGAAAUUCGGCCACAGCAACGCCGCGUGAGUGAAGAAGGUUCUCGGAUUUUAAAUCUCGUUUGUUAGAGAAGCGGUAUCUAACCAGAAAGCCACGGCUAACUACGUGCCAGCCGCCGCGGUAAUUC